UAUUUUUUUUUUAAUUCUUACGUUGUGGGGUCAUGGAGGGGAAAUCAGAUACUCUUUAGUGGGAUUAAACUCAAAUUUUAUCCCUCUAUUUAGAAGACUAGUCCAUGAGUUAGUUAUUCUAUUAGGUGCUUGUGGAUAACUAAGUUUUUGAUGAUAUGAACAGUGUGGAUACUGGGGGUUCUAGUGAUGGAAGUGAUGGCAACACUGUGGGGAAAUUCUAUAUUGAAGCUAAGAAAAUUGAAAAGAUUAGAUGACGAUAUGAUAUUUUCAUCCUGUUUGGUUUUAUUGGUGUUUGUCCUUUAAUCUAAUUCUCUUCAGAUUUGAUGAAUAUAUGAGUUUGAAAUAACUUGGACUCUCAGAUGCUUGUCUGGCCACGUUAGCAUCUGGAGGUUAGUGAUACUGAUAUGCCACUUGCCUCCAUUGGCAUUCUUGUUGGUUGUGAGAAUUUCAUGCAUAUGUUUUGGUUCCAAUAUUCUUCA
Molecule: non-coding RNA, 479 nt
Organism: Arachis ipaensis
Lineage: Eukaryota; Viridiplantae; Streptophyta; Magnoliopsida; Fabales; Fabaceae
Source: RefSeq, a predicted model, not a curated record